GACGAACGCUGGCGGCGUGCUUAACACAUGCAAGUCGAACGGAAAGGCCCUGCUUGCAGGGUACUCGAGUGGCGAACGGGUGAGUAACACGUGGGUGAUCUGCCCUGCACUUCGGGAUAAGCCUGGGAAACUGGGUCUAAUACCGGAUAGGAGCCAUUUUUAGUGUGAUGGUUGGAAAGUUUUUUCGGUGUAGGAUGAGCUCGCGGCCUAUCAGCUUGUUGGUGGGGUAAUGGCCUACCGAGGCGGCGACGGGUAGCCGGCCUGAGAGGGUGGACGGCCACAUUGGGACUGAGAUACGGCCCAGACUCCUACGGGAGGCAGCAGUGGGGAAUAUUGCACAAUGGGCGCAAGCCUGAUGCAGCGACGCCGCGUGGGGGAUGACGGCCUUCGGGUUGUAAACUCCUUUCGCUAGGGACGAAGCUUUUUGUGACGGUACCUAGAGAAGAAGCACCGGCUAACUACGUG
This 465-nucleotide ribosomal RNA is filed under the name uncultured bacterium. RNAcentral describes it as "partial 16S ribosomal RNA". It matches the Rfam family "Bacterial small subunit ribosomal RNA", at positions 28 to 507 of the family's 1533-position model. The record is from RNAcentral.